CUAACAAGGAUUCCCCUAGUAACGGCGAGUGAAGAGGGAAAAGCUCAAAUUUUAAAUCUACCUGGUUCUUCUAGGUCGAAUUGUAAUUUGAAGAAACGAUAUCUUAUUUUGAGGUCUGGUUUAAGUCUUUUGGAACAAGACAUCAUGGAGGGUGAGAAUCCCGUGCAUGAUCAGACCGAAAUUUAUUAAUAUUCGUUUUCUAAGAGUCGAGUUGUUUGGGAAUGCAGCUCAAAAUGGGUGGUAGACUUCACCUAAGGCUAAAUAUCAGCGAGAGACCGAUAGCGAACAAGUACUGUGAAGGAAAGAUGAAAAGAACUUUGAAAAGAGAGUUAAAUAGUACGUGAAAUUGUUGAAAGGGAAACGAUUGAAGUCAGUCAUGCCAGUGAAAAAUCAGUUUAACGGAUUUUUGGUUCGGAGUAGGAGGCAGGGUCAAACCGUCUCUCUUUUGAACUUGAAAUUUGUUAAAUGUACUUUUUCUUUGGCAGGUCAGUGUCGAUUUCGAAGGUUGUAAAGUAACUGGGGGAAAGUAGCUCUGCUUCGGGAGAGUGUUAUAGACUCUGGGGGAUGCAGCCUGCGGGAUCGAGGAUUGCAGCAAAUGCUAUUUGGCUUGUCGCCUGAUCUCUGGACGUUACCUCAUUUGUGACAAUAUUUUUGACACCGGUGGGUACUAAUGGCCAAUAGGUUAGAGCGAUCAAAAAUUUUGCUAAGGAUGC
RNAcentral lists this ribosomal RNA (713 nucleotides) under Diversispora trimurales. Its description in RNAcentral is "eukaryotic LSU rRNA". It matches the Rfam family "Eukaryotic large subunit ribosomal RNA", at positions 65 to 626 of the family's 3401-position model. The record is from RNAcentral. Lineage: Eukaryota; Fungi; Glomeromycota; Glomeromycetes; Diversisporales; Diversisporaceae.